GUUGGAGUGUAAACAAAGUCCCACAUUGAGUGAAAGAAAGACUGGUCAAGGGUUUAUAUACACAUAGAUAUCUCCAAUGGUAAGAGGCCUUUUGGAGUGGUACCAAAAGCAAACCCGUGAGGGCUUGGCCCAAAGCGGACAAUGUCUUACCAUGUGUGGAGUUCUAUGUGUGUGUCGAACCUCCCCCCAAUAGUGGUAU
Molecule: long non-coding RNA, 199 nt
Filed under: Vigna radiata
Lineage: Eukaryota; Viridiplantae; Streptophyta; Magnoliopsida; Fabales; Fabaceae
Description: long non-coding RNA (VRAD_LNC005564)
Source: RNAcentral